This is an RNA transcript of Alexandromys fortis (reed vole), 4061 nucleotides long. It is a transcript of the gene named 60S ribosomal protein L31-like, with no coding region annotated. NCBI's taxonomy places the organism in Eukaryota, Metazoa, Chordata, Mammalia, Rodentia, Cricetidae. The record is from RefSeq and is a predicted model, not a curated record. The transcript has 6 exons.
CACUGUGGUUUUGAGUGCCGAAUAGGGAUUUGCUAGAUUAAGAGAAAGUGAGUUGUCAUUAGCAAAGAGAUCAGCUUGAGCAAGAGAAUGCGUGUAGCGACCAGCAAGCAGUUUAAAGGCUGUGCCUAAAGACUAUUAGAGGGUGGAGGUGACUUGCAGUGGGGAGACUGCUUGUGAAAGUCACUCGAUUUGCAUGUCAAUCAACGUGGACUUUCCUCUGGCGACUGGAGAGCAAGGGAUUACAAGGUCUUCUGCCUAGCAGUUCAGUUUGGCCAACUGCUCAAGUGAAUGGAAGCAAGCUACUCUACCACAGUUAAACGAUUGCACGACGAAAGAAUUCUUAUCAAAUGCUUCAGGCUGCGUUAAGAUUGCCAGAAGUUUCAUCAAUGCUGCAAUUUUCCAGGCCAGCCAGAGCUAUACAGAGGUAACAAUUCUCAGUGAUGGAAUCUGGAAGACUCUCAAGCUCUUGUGCUGGAGACUGGAGACUGUUGUCUGAGGUCCUGCCCAGCUGUGGCCGCCUGUGGGCCUGUGUGGCGGGAGGCAGGCACUGUGCACUUCCAACCUCUCAGAGAGGAUCUGCUCACUGACACAGAGUUCAAUGAGAGAUUUUGGAGACCCUUUCAAGUGGAAAAGCCUGGCAGCAUCAGGUGGAGCCAUGUGGAAGAGGAAUUAGGUGCAAUGGGAGAAAGAUAAGUGAAGAGAACACCUGUAUCAAUCCUGUGCCCCUCCCCAAGGCUCAGGAAAUGUCCUGGAAGCAGGAUCUGAAAGAAUGCAAGAGCCAGAGGAUGGAGAGAAGAAGAGUUGGAAAAUGUUGUCUUCUUAAUAGGGCAUGGCUGCCACACUCACAAACUCAGAGCAAUUGUGGUUCCUGGAAGAGGCUCACGGAGCCCUACCCCUAGCUACUGACAGCCAACAGCUGCUGGUGGAUGGGGCAUAAUUUGGGGGGAUUGUCCAUGACAUACGGUAGUAGUCUCAAAAGUCACAUGCGUGAGGGCAGGGCUAACUAGAAUCACUGGGUCACACAAAGCAAAAUGAAGGCAUGGAGUUGAAAUGCCUUAGAGGGAAUAGGAAGAGGGAUGGAUACGAUCAAGUUUUUAUGCAUGUGCCACUAUUGAAGAAUAGAUAAAAACAUUCUUUAAAAAGGACAUAAUUAAUUGGCCAUUGGCAGAGCUGUAAGUUUUAUAUGUAGCCUUGCAGUUCCUUUAAGAGCUUAGAAAUAAGUGAGGCUGAAAGACCUUACCAAACUAUAAACACGGAAGCAGUCAUUGAGAAAAGCACGGCUGAGCUCAGGGUCUGAGGAGCUCGGACUCCUACACAGUCCCACUGCUGCUCAUUGCACGUAUCACUCAGUCUCCCUGAGUGGCAGUGCUUUUCAUUUGUGAAUGAGACCCCAGCAAAGAUCACAGGACGUUUUUUAUAAGAAUUCGCAUAUGAAUCUAAGUGCAAAUAUAAUGAGUUGCCUAAAAUAUAUGAAUAUAUCUGAAAAUAUACAUAACAAUGAGUAAAAAGUUGAGUGAUAAAAAUGUGGUAAAUAUGUUGUUGUAAGGCCAGGCAUGAAAGAUGGACGGUUCAUGCCUGUAAUUCCAGUACUUGGGAGGCAGAGCUGGAGGGUUGCAAGUUCUAGGCUAGCUUGGGUUGCAUACCAAGACCCUGUCUCAGUAAAAGAAAAUGAUUAAUUAAAAAAAAAAAUACAACAUUCACAUGCCUUUAAUUUCCAGCAAUCAGGAGGCAGAAGUAGAUGCAUUUCAGAGUUCUAUCUCAGUCUAUCUACAAUCUACAUAGUGAGUUCCAAGUCAGCUGGGGCUACAUAGUGAGAACCUGUCUUAAAACAAAUAAAAUAAAAAUUCUAGUAGACUGAACACAUGGAGUUUUAAUUUAAUGAAAAUCUAAGCUGCUGUAAACUUGGAGCCAUAUUUUUGUACCUUUGUGACUUUUGCUCUUUUCUUUUUCUUUUUUUUUUCUUUCUUUUUUUUUUAGGCAGGGUUUCUCUGUGUGGCUGUCCUGGAACUCUGUAGACCAGGCUAACCUUGAGCUCUGCCUCAGAGAUCUGCCUGCCUAUGCCUCCCAAGUGCUGGGAUUAAAGGCAUGCGCCAUCACCGCCCUGGUACCUUUUGUGCCUUUAUAAAGGGAAAGUAUAAUGACACUAAACUAGCACCCAGUGUUCAGCUGUAUCCUGACCUCAGGAGCAUGUCAUUUGACGGUCAGUGGGAUAUAGUAAGGUGCACUGACGUCUCCACCAAAGGAUCUGGAAGUUCUCUUAAUCUCUGAACCAUCUCCAAGUCUUAGAUUGUCUUUUUCCUUCAAGUUAUUUUAAAAUUGCAUUUAUUUGUGUGUGUGUGUGUGUGUGUACAAAUGUGCUAUGGAAACAGCAAGGGAGUUGGUUUUGUCUCUUACCGUGUGGGGACUGGGUCUUGAACUCAGGUCUUGGUUUGGUGAGAGCACCAUUACCUGCUGAGCUGCUCCACCCUUUCCCCUUUAUUUUGAGACAGGGUCUCAAAACAAACAGCAGGUAGACCUCAAACUCAACAUGUUCCUGAGGAUGAUCCUCCUACCUCCACUGCUGGUUGGGCUGCUGAUUGGGCUAGAGGCUGAUGGGUAAUUUAGUCAUUCUCCAGCUUCUCCUCCUGUUGGCAGCAUACUAGUUAAAGGCACCACAGUUUUCAGAAAACGUAUUGUGGAAAUACUCACUGUCAUUGAAAUAUAUUUUAGCUAAAUUCCAAAAUGGCAUGACUUUUUAAAAUUUAUCUGUAAUACUUAAAGAUAUAUUCUAUUUUUGCUGAAGAAAAAAAUACCCAAAUGAAAUCAACAAAGCUUACCUACUGUAAUCCAAACAUAAUAAUUUUGUUAUAUGAUACUAUAUAAAUAAUUAUGCAAAAAUGAUUACCUUUAUUUCCUUUUUGGAUUUAUAGAAAUGAGCAACUGCUUAGCCAUGUUGGCUUGUUUAUAAUGUGGUAUAGAAAUAUUACUGAAAGACUGGCCUUACAUUGGCCAUUGUACCAAUUCAACAAGAGUACCACAUUUCAAGAUCAGACAUAAUAAAGAAGUUUGGUAUAUAGUAUGCACUCAAACACCACCAGGAUAGCUCUUCCUUUCCUCUUAAAUGAGUAAGCUUUGGUCAAUUUUGGGCUUGGUUCCACCUUCAUUUAGAGUCAAGCUUCACAAUUUGACUUUUUGGAGACUUACAUGGGGGCAGCUCUGAAUGAGAAUUUGGAAGCACGGGUGUAUCUGUUUCCUUGUUAUUGCUGUGAUUAAACACGAUAAUCAAGACAACUUACAGAAGGAAGGGUUACAGUGGUUCUCAACCUUCCUGAUGCUGUGACCCUUUAAUAGAGUUCCUAGUAUUGUAGUGAUCACAACCACAAAAUUAUUAUCGCUGCUAUUUCAUAACUGCAAUUUUGCUCCUGUUAUGAAUUGUAAUAUCUGUGCUUUCUGAUGACCUUAGGUGACCCCUUUGAAAGAGUCAUUUGAUCCCCGAAGAGGGGGGGGUCCCACAGGUUGGAAACAGUUGAUUUAGGAUUUAUGGUUCCAGUGGGAUAAGAGUCCAUCACUAUCACAAUGGAGACAGCAGCUGGCAGACUUGGCAACUGGAGCUGGAAGCUGAGAGCUGAGGGCUCACAUCUCUAACCAUAAACAGGAAGCAGAUAGAGUGAAGUUAAAAUGGCAAGACCAUGCUUCCUAAGCCUCCCCAAACAGCUACCUACUGGGAACCAAGUAUUUAAAUGCCACGACUAUGGGAGAUACCUCAUUAAAAACAACCACAGUGAGUUAAAUUCUUUUUGCUGUGUAUUCAAAACAGUGUUUUCAACAUGAGCUUUGAGAAUGUUUGGGAGAGGCAUUCUAGCAUUCCACUUUAAGCCGGUGCCAAACACCAGACCCCUCUUAUAAAGAGAAGUAUUGUUUGCUUUACCAUGAAAGUUUACAUACAUGUGCAUGGAUGUAGACUGGCUCACUUGGGAAAACAUUGCAACUCAAUUUGUGGCUUAUGCUGACCCUUUCUGACCUGCUAUACGAGGUUCAAAUCUGCAUAUUUGAGUACUGGGAGGAAUUUUUGCCACGUCCAA